ACAGUGGGUAAGGGCUCAGCACUAAGAGGCAACCUACCAAAAGGCUCCUAAAUCCUUAUUUUUACUUCUAAAAUCUUUAGCUGAUGCUGGACAGUAUGAAACAUGAGGGGGUUGUGGGGAAGAGUGGCUGGAUUUUGUUGGGAGCAAGGCAGCCCGUUGCAGAGGAGAUCUGGGAAACGUGGUUCUAGCUGCAGAAGACUGUGGAAUUGAGGGGAAAUGGGAGGAUGCUGUUCUGCCUUUUGGGGAGGUAGGCUGAUGACAGCACUCAAGGUUGGGAGAGAGAACAUGUUGGAAGACCAGCAGCUGUUCCUCUAAAUGACUGCAGAAAUGGGAAGUUUCUAGAGGACAAGGGUGCAGCUUCCUCUUGAAGAAUGCUUGGCCAAGACACUUCUCCAGUGGUCACAGAGUCUGAGUUGCACUGCAAGGAAACUGGGAAACAAGCAAGAAAAAUCAGAAGUUGGGAUAAAUGCCUAAUAUUAGGCAGAAGGCCCCUGAGAGCAAAGAGGCAGCUGAGUUGAUGUGAAGGCAGGCAGUUAUUGAUCUGCCAAAAGAAGGGCCUUUGUCACAAGGAUGUCAGACAGCCACUUCUGUUCUGUAUUCCCCAUUGUGUCCUCAGGUCUUGCCCGCAGCCAGAGUGGGAGCAGGAAGAGGUAAGUUGAAGGAAUGGCCGCUUCUCGGCCGCAGGAGUUUCAGAGCAACUUCUUUAUGUCCCAGUGGGUGGUUGGCAGUGGUUCCCACGUUAGUGGUUAUGAUUUUGGAAACACUGCUAGCUGAGUUAUCUUUAUGUGAAGCUUGAUAAAGCUUGGGUUUGCUCCAGCUGGUGCUGAGUGUUUUGGGGUGUGGAUUUAUGCUCUUGGAUUCAGUCAGAGGUCCAAGAAUACUAUGAUAAUUCAUGUGAUAGAUCGAGCAGGAGCAGUUUUUGGAGUCUGAGGACAAGUGACAGUGAAUUUGAAGAAGGUCUCACAGAUUUCCUGAUUCUUUUGUACUACUCUCCCAAGCUCUUAGUACAGUGUUCUGAACACAGUAAGUGCUCAAUAACUAUCAUUAUUUGAUUGAGGAUUGACUGAUUGUUUUACUCCUUGGAGCAGGGCUCAGAAGCAACAGUCCCAACUAGGAUUCUGACUUCUGUUUGCCUUUAGUUUUUUAGAUCAGCA
RNAcentral lists this long non-coding RNA (1154 nucleotides) under Ornithorhynchus anatinus (platypus). RNAcentral's name for it is "lncRNA (ENSOANG00000038442.1)". Lineage: Eukaryota; Metazoa; Chordata; Mammalia; Monotremata; Ornithorhynchidae. The record is from RNAcentral.